GACGAACGCUGGCGGCGUGCCUAAUACAUGCAAGUUGAGCGCUGAAGGUUGGUACUUGUACCGACUGGAUGAGCAGCGAACGGGUGAGUAACGCGUGGGGAAUCUGCCUUUGAGCGGGGGACAACAUUUGGAAACGAAUGCUAAUACCGCAUAAAAACUUUAAACACAAGUUUUAAGUUUGAAAGAUGCAAUUGCAUCACUCAAAGAUGAUCCCGCGUUGUAUUAGCUAGUUGGUGAGGUAAAGGCUCACCAAGGCGAUGAUACAUAGCCGACCUGAGAGGGUGAUCGGCCACAUUGGGACUGAGACACGGCCCAAACCCCUACGGGAGGCAGCAGUAGGGAAUCUUCGGCAAUAGACGAAAGUCUGACCGAGCAACGCCGCGUGAGUGAAGAAGGUUUUCGGAUCGUAAAACUCUGUUGGUAGAGAAGAACGUUGGUGAGAGUGGAAAGCUCAUCAAGUGACGGUAACUACCCAGAAAGGGACGGCUAACUACGUG
RNAcentral lists this ribosomal RNA (497 nucleotides) under uncultured bacterium. RNAcentral's name for it is "partial 16S ribosomal RNA". It matches the Rfam family "Bacterial small subunit ribosomal RNA", at positions 28 to 507 of the family's 1533-position model. The record is from RNAcentral.